RNAcentral lists this ribosomal RNA (445 nucleotides) under uncultured bacterium. RNAcentral's name for it is "partial 16S ribosomal RNA". It matches the Rfam family "Bacterial small subunit ribosomal RNA", at positions 354 to 796 of the family's 1533-position model. The record is from RNAcentral.
GUGAGGAAUAUUGGUCAAUGGGCGAAAGCCUGAACCAGCCAUGUCGCGUGAAGGAUGAAGGUCCUAUGGAUUGUAAACUUCUUUUGCAGGAGGGUAAAGUGAGCUACGUGUAGUUCAUUGCAAGUACCCUGCGAAUAAGCAUCGGCUAACUCCGUGCCAGCAGCCGCGGUAAUACGGAGGAUGCGAGCGUUAUCCGGAUUUAUUGGGUUUAAAGGGUGCGUAGGCGGACUAAUUAGUCAGCGGUGAAAUUUUGCGGCUCAACCGUAAAACUGCCGUUGAAACUGUUAGUCUUGAGUGCGGUAGAGGUAGGCGGAAUGUGUGGUGUAGCGGUGAAAUGCUUAGAUAUCACACAGAACACCGAUUGCGUAGGCAGCUUACUGGAGCGCAACUGACGCUGAGGCACGAAAGCGUGGGGAUCGAACAGGAUUAGAUACCCCAGUAGUCC